Long non-coding RNA from Vitis riparia (riverbank grape), 484 nucleotides. RefSeq lists it as uncharacterized. The record is from RefSeq and is a predicted model, not a curated record. The transcript is spliced from 2 exons. NCBI's taxonomy places the organism in Eukaryota, Viridiplantae, Streptophyta, Magnoliopsida, Vitales, Vitaceae.
AGAAGACUGAUAAGUUGAAUAUUUCAGGUUGCUUUUAGGACUAAGGUCUUCCAUCCUAACAUUAAUAGCAAUGGAAGUAUCUGUCUGGAUAUUCUUAAAGAACAAUGGAGCCCUGCUCUUACCAUUUCCAAGGUUCUAUUGUCAAUAUGUUCUCUGUUGACGGAUCCAAAUCCUGAUGACCCACUUGUCCCUGAAAUUGCUCAUAUGUACAAGACUGACCGGACCAAGUAUGAGGCUACUGCUCGCAGCUGGACACAGAAGUAUGCCAUGGAUGAUGGGAAGAACCUCCAGCUUAUAUGUUGUAGCUCCUGGGUUUUCUGUCGAUUUAGGUAAAAUGAAUAGACGGAUUAAUAGCUGCCUUUGCUUUCAGGAGUGGCAAAUAGUUAUGACUCGUUUUGUGAAUUUGAAUAUGAAGACAUUAGAACGGGUGGCAACUGUAAUGAUACUAGCUCGUUUUUGUUAUAUUUAAUCUGUAUUUCAUGUU